Molecule: long non-coding RNA, 1313 nt
Filed under: Salmo salar (Atlantic salmon)
Lineage: Eukaryota; Metazoa; Chordata; Actinopteri; Salmoniformes; Salmonidae
Description: lncRNA (ENSSSAG00000116195.1)
Source: RNAcentral
GGUAAUGGAGUCGUGCGUGGCCACGCAGUCGUGGGUGAACAGGGAGUACAGGAGGGAACUAAGCACACAACCCUGAGGGGCUCCUGUGUUGAGUGUCAAUGUGAUCGAUGUGUUGUUGCCUACCCUCACCACCUAGGUGCGUCCCGUCAGGCAGUCCAGGAUCCAGUUGCAGAUGAAGGCCAUGUCCAGGCUUUCAAAGCAUUUCAUGGCUACAGAUGAAUGUUACGCGGUCAAUAGCCAUUUAGACAGGUUACCUUGGCGUUCUUGGGCACAGGGACUAUAGUGGUCUGCUUGAAACGUGUAGGUAUUACAGACUGGGUUAGGGACAGGUUAAACAUUUCAGUGAAGACAUUGAAGAAAUGUAUUGGAAGACGAUUUAUGACAGUGGUAUUUUGGGUAAUUUCUUUACUAUAACUCUUGCUCAGUCCAUGAGAUUGACUAACUGUCCAAUUCCAACCAGUUUGAAGUACCGUGAAAGCGUAUGAGAUACAAGAAAUCAAACUGCCUGAGCUGGGAUAAAAUCAUGUCCAAACAAGUUCUCUUGUGGCAGGAACCUGUCGGGACUGGGUGGUAAACUGAUAAUCUGCAACAAACCAUCUUUUGGUUGUUAGUUUCAAUUAUGAUACAUGGGGAAAAAUGCUUAACAUUUCUGAUUAUCUGAAUUAUUUUAAUCAUAAAAUAUACUUUCUACCUAAAACAAAAAAUAACAAAAUUCCCCUCGUAUACUUUCACCUUUCUCUUUGUUUUAGUUUCCCUUGCAUGAACUGUGAUGAUUGUCCUUUCCCCCACUUUGCCCAGCCACACUCUUACGUGUGUGUGUGUGUGUGUGUGUGUGUGUGUGUGUGUGUGUGUGUGUGUGUGUGUGUGUGUGUGUGUGUGUGUGUGUGUGUGUGUGUGUGUGUGUGUGUGUGUGUGUGUGUGUGUGUGUGCGCGCGCGCAUAUGUGGUUCUACCUUGCACAAGGACUAUUCUGCAUCGUUGUCUCGAUCUCUGUACAGUAUUAAUCUGUCUUUUCUCCUCACACUCUCUCUGUAGCUGCGUGAAAAUGCUCAACCUGUGGUGUUGUUGCUUCUUCAAGCGAAAACGGAAGAAGAACACUCCACGGCAGAAAUGAUCUCCUGCUACCCUGUCCGGUGUCGCUGAGCGAGUUUGGUUUUAAGGAAACUAAUGAAGGGACAUUUCUGGGAGGAGUUGGGAGAGAGACUUGUUAUAUCAAGAGAAUGGGAUUCUUACUGACCUGGACCUACUGAAUGGAACUACUAUACACAUGAAGACCUUGGCCACAAAGUCCUUUCUUUUCUUUCCUUCUCGGUG